Molecule: ribosomal RNA, 433 nt
Filed under: uncultured bacterium
Lineage: Bacteria
Description: partial 16S ribosomal RNA
Rfam family: Bacterial small subunit ribosomal RNA
Source: RNAcentral
AACGAACGCUGGCGGCAUGCCUAACACAUGCAAGUCGAACGAAGGCUUCGGCCUUAGUGGCGCACGGGUGCGUAACGCGUGGGAAUUUGCCCUUUGGUUCGGAAUAACAGCUGGAAACGGCUGCUAAUACCGGAUGAUGACGAAAGUCCAAAGAUUUAUCGCCAGAGGAUGAGCCCGCGUUGGAUUAGGUAGUUGGUGGGGUAAAGGCCUACCAAGCCGACGUUCCAUAGCUGGUCUGAGAGGAUGAUCAGCCACACUGGGACUGAGACACGGCCCAGACUCCUACGGGAGGGAGCAGAGGGGAAUAUUGGACAAUGGGCGCAAGCCUGAUCCAGCAACGCCGCGUGAGUGAUGAAGGCCCUAGGGUUGUAAAGCUCUUUUACCCGGGAAGAUAAUGACUGUACCGGGAGAAUAAGCCCCGGCUAACUACGUG